RNAcentral lists this ribosomal RNA (468 nucleotides) under uncultured bacterium. RNAcentral describes it as "partial 16S ribosomal RNA". It matches the Rfam family "Bacterial small subunit ribosomal RNA", at positions 28 to 507 of the family's 1533-position model. The record is from RNAcentral.
GACGAACGCUGGCGGCGUGCUUAACACAUGCAAGUCGAACGGUAAUGCUCUGCUCUUUUGGGGUGCUCGAGUGGCGAACGGGUGAGUUACAAGUGAGUAACCUGCCCUUGACCUUGGUAUAACUUCAGGAAACUGGGGCUAAUCUCGGAUAGGAGCUCCUGCUUCAUGGUUGGGUUUGGUAAGUUUCGGCGGUUGGGGAUGGACUCGCGGCUUUUCAGCUUGUUGGUUUGGUAGUGGCUUACCAAGGCUUUGACGGGUAGCCGGCCUGAGUGGGUGACCGGCCACAUUAGGACUGAGAUACGGCUCAGACUCCUACGGGAGGCAGCAGUGGGGAAAAGUGAGCAAUGGCGUGAAGCCUGAUGCAGUGACGCCGCGUGCGGUAUGACGGCCUUCGGGUUGUAAACCGCUUUCGCCUGUGACGAAGCGUGAGUGACGGUAAUGGGUAAAGAAGCACAGGCUAACUACGUG